UACGAAGGGGGCUAGCGUUGCUCGGAAUCACUGGGCGUAAAGGGUGCGUAGGCGGGUCUUUAAGUCAGGGGUGAAAUCCUGGAGCUCAACUCCAGAACUGCCUUUGAUACUGAGGAUCUUGAGUUCGGGAGAGGUGAGUGGAACUGCGAGUGUAGAGGUGAAAUUCGUAGAUAUUCGCAAGAACACCAGUGGCGAAGGCGGCUCACUGGUCCGGUACUGACGCUGAUGUGCGAAAGCGUGGGGAGCAAACAGG
This 253-nucleotide ribosomal RNA is filed under the name uncultured bacterium. RNAcentral's name for it is "partial 16S ribosomal RNA". It matches the Rfam family "Bacterial small subunit ribosomal RNA", at positions 524 to 776 of the family's 1533-position model. The record is from RNAcentral.